GGGGGCGUGGCGGAAUGGCAGACGCUACGGACUUAAAAUCCGUUGACCGUUUAGGUCGUGUGGGUUCAAGUCCCACCGCCCCCA
RNAcentral lists this transfer RNA (84 nucleotides) under Symploca sp. SIO2G7. RNAcentral describes it as "tRNA-Leu". It matches the Rfam family "tRNA". From Rfam's summary of the family: Transfer RNA (tRNA) molecules are approximately 80 nucleotides in length. Their secondary structure includes four short double-helical elements and three loops (D, anti-codon, and T loops). The record is from RNAcentral. Lineage: Bacteria; Bacillati; Cyanobacteriota; Cyanophyceae; Coleofasciculales; Coleofasciculaceae.